UUAGGAAUAUUGGACAAUGGGGGAAACCUUGAUCCAGCCAUGCCGCGUGAGUGAAGAAGGCCUUCGGGUUGUAAAGCUCUUUUGUACGGGAAGAUGAUGACGGUACCGUAAGAAUAAGCACCGGCAAACUUCGUGCCAGCAGCCGCGGUAAUACGAAGGGUGCAAGCGUUGUUCGGAAUUACUGGGCGUAAAGGGCGUGUAGGCGGAUAUAUCAGUCAGGAGUGAAAUACCGGGGCUUAACUUCGGAACUGCUUUUGAGACGGUAUAUCUAGAGUGUAUUAGGGGACAAUGGAACACCCAGUGUAGAGGUGAAAUUCGUAGAUAUU
This 326-nucleotide ribosomal RNA is filed under the name uncultured Rhodospirillaceae bacterium. RNAcentral's name for it is "bacterial SSU rRNA". It matches the Rfam family "Bacterial small subunit ribosomal RNA", at positions 355 to 698 of the family's 1533-position model. The record is from RNAcentral. Lineage: Bacteria; Pseudomonadati; Pseudomonadota; Alphaproteobacteria; Rhodospirillales; Rhodospirillaceae.